RNAcentral lists this ribosomal RNA (225 nucleotides) under uncultured Thorsellia sp. RNAcentral describes it as "partial 16S ribosomal RNA". It matches the Rfam family "Bacterial small subunit ribosomal RNA", at positions 568 to 792 of the family's 1533-position model. Lineage: Bacteria; Pseudomonadati; Pseudomonadota; Gammaproteobacteria; Enterobacterales; Thorselliaceae. The record is from RNAcentral.
CAUGCAGGCGGUUAGACAAGUCAGGUGUGAAAUCCCCGCGCUUAACGUGGGCAUUGCAUUUGAAACUAUGUAGCUAGAGUUCUGUAGAGGGGGGUAGAAUUCCAGGUGUAGCGGUGAAAUGCUUAGAUAUUACAUGGAAUACCAAUUGCGAAGGCAGGUUACUACUAAGUGAUUGACGCUGAUGGACGAAAGCGUGGGGAGCGAACAGGAUUAGAUACCCCCGUA